AUAGUGCGGCUGGUUCAGCAUCAACUGCAGAUUCUCAAACACGCACAUUAUUUCUAUCUCAACCCACGACGCCUUGCACCACUACUGCCGCACCACCGAUUGCGAUUCUGAAGGCUUCCAAUUCAGGACUUACAAGUUUCUUCUUCUUCGCGUCAAAAGCAUAGAGAAGUCAUUUGAGAUUGAUCAACUGAAACAUGCACUUGAAGUGGCAGACUAUGAGAAGUGGAAUUGUGAAGAUCUAGUGAAGUCCAAACUUGACGUCUUAUCUCCGGAGCAUAUUCUGUCUUUUGACAAAAUAGAAAAGCUUCAGACGGAGUUAAAUACAUGUAGAAUCAAAGAACAAGAGCAAGCCUCAACUUUGUCAAUUGACAUGCAGUUAGAACAUAAUUCAAAGGAGAUGACAAAGCUAAGAAUGAGAAUCCAAUCGACAGAAGCUAGAAGAGUUUCCUUCAAGAAGUGGUACGAGAAGGCUUUAGAUGAGCAGAAGUUAAUGCAUAAGAAAGUUGAGGCACUUGGCCUUUUUUGUACUAGUUAGCCUUGUUUUUACUAGCGUAUGUUAAUGGGUCUCAAUAGUCUACAAAGAUAGGCUUGAAAAACAAAUGAGAGUGAACCAUCCCUCUCAUUUGUUGGAACAAACUCGUGGGAUAAUCCUGCUAGAACCAAAAUAUUUGAAUGUUUCAUUGUUUAUAACCAAUCAACAGCUAAUUAAAUAUUGUUAAACACAA
Molecule: long non-coding RNA, 725 nt
Organism: Spinacia oleracea (spinach)
Lineage: Eukaryota; Viridiplantae; Streptophyta; Magnoliopsida; Caryophyllales; Amaranthaceae
Exons: 4
Source: RefSeq, a predicted model, not a curated record